AUGUUACCAGUGAAGAAGAGCAACCCCAACGGGCCUCGCACGGUCCGGCGCGGAUGGCAAGCCCCGGCUAUCGGCAGCGCCAAGAUUUAUGUUUAUGGUGGAGUCAACCGAGGAGAAAACAAAGGUGCUGUUAGUGCAGUCUGCCGAGACUCGAGCGGCACGUUCCUUGGAGCAUCGUCGGUGGUGUUUGAGGGGCUUACUCAGCCGGCCAUCCUGGAAGCUAUUUCCUGUAAUGAGGCUCUCUCCCUGGCUCUAGACUUUAACCUGUCCAAGUUAUAGAUUGCCACGGACUGUUUGCAAGUACUACGGAACAUCGAAGAGGAGAAUCCAUGCAACUAUGGAGUGAUUGUCAAAGAGAUCCUAGUGAAGAAGGAGCUAUUCCAGGAAGUAUCUAUUAGUCAUGAGUCUCGAGCUUGUAAUUUAGAAGCACACAAUCUUGUUAGGGCUUCGACUUCUCUUGAGAGUGGGCGCCAUGUUUGGCUCACCUCCCCCCACCAAUAG
This 501-nucleotide ribosomal RNA is filed under the name Triticum aestivum (bread wheat). RNAcentral's name for it is "partial small subunit ribosomal RNA". Lineage: Eukaryota; Viridiplantae; Streptophyta; Magnoliopsida; Poales; Poaceae. The record is from RNAcentral.